AUGCUCAUCUGGGGAGAGAGAUUUAAGUUAUAUCAUUUUGGUAAUUGCACAGCAGACAGGUUUCGUCUGUGGGACAAGUGGUUUGUCACUCCCUACUUCUACCCCACGUGGCAUAAACUUAUAUUUUCACUGUCACUUUGCUAUAUAGAAGAUGUGGGUUUUGGAGGAAAGAAGAUUUUAGUGAAUGAUGAGCCAUCAGCAGGCCGCUCUGAUGAUGAGAUACCCUGCCAGAUAUACGUGUGUCCCACGAUGUGUCAAUGGCAGCAUCUCUUGCAUCUAUUUUUGUCUCUUUAUGACUUUGUCAGUGAACUUUCAGGAAAUGGCAGAGUAGCUUCAUUUGGAGCCUGAGGAAGCAAUGCCUAUAACCGGAGCCCAAGGAGAGUCCACUGGGGGGAAACUAAAGCCCGCAAAAAUUAAAUACUUAUCCAUGGUGACCCAGAAAAUCAUUAAGCACAAAUCCUCUGACUCCUGAGACAAGCUCUUUUUUUGCUCACAUUUAUGAUGUUAUAUGCCUCCCUGUGGCACCUUCUGAACAUGCCUUUCAGUGUGUGCUUUGGCAUAGCUAAAUUUAUUGAGGCUGUUAACUGGACCUUGAAAUGCACGUUCCACUUUGUGGUGUUAGGCAGAUUCAGAUGUAAAAUCUGCACUGGGUCCUUAUGACCACAUAGUGACUUCAAUCCUUUUGGACAACUACAACUUAAUAUCACUAGAAAUUCCUUGCAUGGAUCAUGAGCAACAUGUGACCCCCAAACUCUUCUCAGUUUGUUAUAAUCUUUCAUUUCUUCUAAGACAUCUGAACUGGAUUUUUGUUCCCAUUUAUGCUGUUUAAUAUCUUAAUUGUUUAAAGAAAUAUUUAGCUAUAUGAACAUGAAGAUUGCAACUGAAAAAUAUUCAAAACCUGUUUGCACUGCUUACUUUUUCUUUGGCGUAUCUGUUAACUACAACAUUACCAAUCCACUGCUAAUGAGAUUGUCUGGAAUCUGCCCACUUAUUCCAUUCUUGCUUCAGGAUCCUGUGCUACUGGAGUUCUUCUCAUGACAUAGGCAUCAUUCUUCCUUGUAUCCAUGGCUGUGUCUGUUAAGACCUUUUAUACAAUAGCCUCAGAACUCUGGUUGCAAUUAGAGUUUUGAUUAGCUGUCAGUGAUGUCAUAGCCAUGGUUAUUUUAAAUCCACUGUGCUAAGUGUUUUCCUUUUCCUAAUGUACUGUAGAAAUUCCAUUUCUUGACAGCAAUAAGACACUUCAGGCACUGUGUUUCAGGGCCAAUAUUGCACUUCUCAUGGAGUUAAGACACUUGGCCUUCAGCCUCAUGACUUAUAACACAAUCUGAGUUAUGCUAUAAUCACCCAGAUAUAUACAUGGCCUGUUGUGUUUUAUUGCUUAAAUGGAACCUGUCCCAGCGCCUCAUCAACUGACAAGGUGGGAAUAUAGCCCCGAAUGACUGUUCAGAUUCCCACUGGGAGUUGCAUUUGGUCAGAUCCCCUUUAGCCGUCCAGGGGUUGUGCUGAAACUCUGGAGGCCUUUGGUAUAUUUACCACACAACAGAAAUCAAAACUUUAGCAUCUCAGGUCUCGCUGCCAGACUGCCCAACUUAGGUUGCCAAAUAUCUCCCUCUCAACACGUUUAUUGAACUUUAAAACAGCAGAACAGCAUUGAAUGAAGUCCAGUAAUUUUUAUAGGAUAUAUUUUAGUCACUAGACUUUGAAGACUAUUCCAACAUUAAUUAUAAAGUUUCUGUGUCUGGAUAACAUAUUGUUAACAGUUAUUUUGCAAGUGCUAAUGGCAAGAUGGAAGAUUUCCAAUAAUUUUAUUGAGGAAGUAGCAAUUAAAAUGUUGAGCACUACAGGGUACAUACAAAAUAAAAAUAAUUUUGCAAACA
This is a long non-coding RNA of Vulpes vulpes (red fox), 1877 nucleotides long. NCBI's taxonomy places the organism in Eukaryota, Metazoa, Chordata, Mammalia, Carnivora, Canidae. The record is from Ensembl.